This is a transfer RNA of Colletotrichum salicis, 93 nucleotides long. It matches the Rfam family "tRNA". Rfam says of the family: Transfer RNA (tRNA) molecules are approximately 80 nucleotides in length. Their secondary structure includes four short double-helical elements and three loops (D, anti-codon, and T loops). Further hydrogen bonds mediate the characteristic L-shaped molecular structure. tRNAs have two regions of fundamental functional importance: the anti-codon, which is responsible for specific mRNA codon recognition, and the 3' end, to which the tRNAs corresponding amino acid is attached (by aminoacyl-tRNA synthetases). tRNAs cope with the degeneracy of the genetic code in two manners: having more than one tRNA (with a specific anti-codon) for a particular amino acid; and 'wobble' base-pairing, i.e. permitting non-standard base-pairing at the 3rd anti-codon position. Lineage: Eukaryota; Fungi; Ascomycota; Sordariomycetes; Glomerellales; Glomerellaceae. The record is from Rfam.
GGCCCUCUGGCGCAACGGUAGCGCGUUCGACUCCAGAUCGGAAUAUCUCGAGAUGCCAUCGAAAGGUUAUCUGUUCAAAUCAGGUGGGGGUCA